This 58-nucleotide transfer RNA is filed under the name Loxodonta africana (African savanna elephant). It matches the Rfam family "tRNA", at positions 8 to 63 of the family's 71-position model. Rfam says of the family: Transfer RNA (tRNA) molecules are approximately 80 nucleotides in length. Their secondary structure includes four short double-helical elements and three loops (D, anti-codon, and T loops). Lineage: Eukaryota; Metazoa; Chordata; Mammalia; Proboscidea; Elephantidae. The record is from Rfam by way of RNAcentral.
UGGCAUAAUGGUUAAAGCACUUGGCUGCUAACUGAAAGGUUGGUGGUUCGAACCCACC